AUUGAACGCUGGCGGCAGGCCUAACACAUGCAAGUCGAGCGGAUGAAGGGAGCUUGCUCCUGGAUUCAGCGGCGGACGGGUGAGUAAUGCCUAGGAAUCUGCCUGGCAGUGGGGGAUAACGUCCGGAAACGGGCGCUAAUACCGCAUACGUCCUGAGGGAGAAAGUGGGGGAUCUUCGGACCUCACGCUAUCAGAUGAGCCUAGGUCGGAUUAGCUAGUUGGUGGGGUAAAGGCCUACCAAGGCGACGAUCCGUAACUGGUCUGAGAGGAUGAUCAGUCACACUGGAACUGAGACACGGUCCAGACUCCUACGGGAGGCAGCAGUGGGGAAUAUUGGACAAUGGGCGAAAGCCUGAUCCAGCCAUGCCGCGUGUGUGAAGAAGGUCUUCGGAUUGUAAAGCACUUUAAGUUGGGAGGAAGGGCAGUAAGUUAAUACCUUGCUGUUUUGACGUUACCAACAGAAUAAGCACCGGCUAACUUCGU
Molecule: ribosomal RNA, 483 nt
Filed under: uncultured bacterium
Lineage: Bacteria
Description: partial 16S ribosomal RNA
Rfam family: Bacterial small subunit ribosomal RNA
Source: RNAcentral